Molecule: unclassified non-coding RNA, 341 nt
Filed under: soil metagenome
Description: partial contains 5.8S ribosomal RNA, internal transcribed spacer 2, and large subunit ribosomal RNA
Rfam family: 5.8S ribosomal RNA (bases 1-120)
Source: RNAcentral
GAUGAAGAACGCAGCGAAAUGCGAUAAGUAGUGUGAAUUGCAGAAUUCAGUGAAUCAUCGAAUCUUUGAACGCACAUUGCGCCCCUUGGUAUUCCAUGGGGCAUGCUUGUUCGAGCGUCAUUUGUACUCUCAAGCUUUGCUUGGUGUUGGGCGUCUUGUCUCUAGCUUUGCUGGAGACUCGCCUUAAAGUAAUUGGCAGCCGGCCUACUGGUUUCGGAGCGCAGCACAAGUCGCACUCUCUAUCAGCAAAGGUCUAGCAUCCAUUAAGCCUUUUUUUCAACUUUUGACCUCGGAUCAGGUAGGGAUACCCGCUGAACUUAAGCAUAUCAAUAAGCGGAGGA